Molecule: long non-coding RNA, 3714 nt
Organism: Bombyx mori (domestic silkworm)
Lineage: Eukaryota; Metazoa; Arthropoda; Insecta; Lepidoptera; Bombycidae
Exons: 2
Source: RefSeq, a predicted model, not a curated record
AUUUAAGCUUCAAUUGUUUAUUGCUAAUUAUUAGUGUUUGAAUAAAUAGUACCUCUGGUCUUCAGCCUAAGUAACUAAGACAUACAUAAUAAGGGGUUAAAGUAUAAAAUUGCCGUUUUAUUGUAAUAGGUAUUUCGAAUUAACAUAGAACCUUCAUGGUUAGAGCUUUUUGAGCGAAACUUUUUUCAAAUUAUAUACCUAUAAGGUUCUUCUUUGUAAAAUAUGCAACAUUUGAUUAUCGACUUUCAGUUGUUUUUUUUAAUCAACUUAGACAAGAAAGAUGGAUACCUCGAACCUUCGACUGAUUUUUGAAUACGAGUUCCGACGCGGAACUAACUCUGCAGAAACAGCUUGCAAUAUCAACGUUGCGUUUGAAGAGGGGACUGCUAAUGAAUACCCCAUGCGAUUUUGGUUUAAACGCUUUUGUGAUGGAAAUUUUGAUUUGAAGAACGAACCACGCGGAAGGCCGCCCAAGCGUGUGAAUAACAAUGAAUUGAAAAAGAUGGUGGAAGCCGAUGCGAGCCAAACUACCCAGAAAUUAGCGGCAUGGCUUAACGUUACCUUACCAACAAUAUUGACUUAUUUUUGUCAAAUCAAUAAAAUAAAAUAAAUUGAAAAAUGGCUGCCUCAUGAUUUGGCUGAUCUGCAGAAAGAAACGCGUGUUGAAACUUGUGUUGCCUUGUUGAAUCGAAACAGAAAUGAAGGAAUAUUGGAUCGAAUUGUAACAUUGGUACAGUGUGGAUUCUUUACGAUAACCGUAAGCGAAAAAUGCAAUGACUGACCCCAGGUCAAACGCCGCAACAGUAUCCUAAAGCAAAGCUUACCAUCAAAAAGGUAAUGGUCAUUGUUUGGUGGUCUCAGCAUGGUGUUAUCCACUAUAGCUUUCUCCGAUCUGGUCAAACAAUAACGGCAGAUGUCUACUGUGCCGAAUUCCGAACAAUGAUAGCAAAACUUGCAAACUUGAAACAUCGCCGACUCAUGAAUCGAUCUUCACCAUUAUAGCUCCAUGAUAACGGGAGACCACAUACAGCACGAAAAACCGUUUUAACUCUACAGGAACUGCAAUCAGAAGCCAUUCGUGACCCUCCGUAUUCGCCAGACCUUGCGACACCGGACUACCACUUUUUUCGUAAUUUGGACAAUUUUCUACGUGAUGUAGUUUUCUUCCCAGGAGGUAGUACAAGAUGUUUUCGCAUAUUUUGUAAAAUAUAGAUCACCAGAGCUCUAUCGCAAACGCAUAAAUGACCUUCCUAUUAGACGACAGCAAUGUAUAGAUAAUAAUGGUAGAUGUUUUGAAUUAAUAAAUGUUAAAUGAAAAAAAAAACAAUUUCUAUUUUUCAGUACAAAUCGGCAAUUUCAUACCCCUUAUAUUAAUACAACGUUAUGAUUAUCAGCCAAUUAUCUCGAACGUAUCAUUGAGUGCUUUCGGCACAUUGCUAGAAAAUAUGAUGACGACCUUGAAAAAAAUGUUGUUACUGGAAAGGUCAAUGACAAAAGAUGACGUGAUCAUAACCCGAUACGUCGACUCAGAAUUUCGCACAACAAAACUUAUUAAAAUGUCGACAUGGAUACUAAAAUGUCGACAUGGAUGAUGCUCCGAGUGUAUUGCGGUCACAAAUGCGACUUUAUAAGAUUAGAUACAUUACAAUUUUUGAUAUUGUAUGAGUACGCACAUUUCGAGAAGUUUCUGUUGAUUUUAAAUUACAAUUCGAAGCGUUUGAACGACAAUUGGUGUUGCGUAACACGUAAACCACAUCUUGUCACGUAAGACUAUGGUUUGCGUCUUCAUACAAUAUGAUCUUGGGUAAACCAAUGACUCAUGCAAUACUCGUUGUCUGAUUACAAAUGACCACUUCAAUGUUAACAGAACUGUAAUAGCAAGAAUAAAGAAACAAUAUGGAUUUAACUAAAUCGCAGUUCGGUCUUAGGGCGUAACGACCACCAUCCAAAUUAUCUGCGAAAAUGUUUAGCGUUUCAGUUUGAAAGGUUUGUACCUGUAGCUAUUGGGGCACAGGCUUAGAUAUGUAGCUAUCAUAUGGCAAAAGAAGCAAAGUGAAAUCCUGAAACGCGUUAGCGACCUUUACAAGACAAACUUAUUACCAAGCCUAAUAACAUUCUGACUAAUAGUCUAUCGAGCAAAAUUACCUACUCGGUUAAUGACAUUUUUUUAUCACUUAUAAAUUGUUUAACAUUUAAUUAUCAGCAAUUACUAAAUAUUGUGAUAACGAAAUUCUAUGCAAUACACUUUUCUGUAGAAUAGCAUUCUCCCGUAUAUCGGUUUACAUUACAGUCGAUUUUCCAACAUAAAUUAGCUUUUUUUUAAUAUUUUGGAAUGAAGUUCCUUAUGGGACGAUGCGGAGGGGUACCCUAACCGGGAAAAAACGUCCGUAACGUAAGAUUUUUAUUAUUUAUGUAUAGUCUUAGUAUGAUGGCUAUACAGUGUCUAAUGUGUAUAGUCUACGUGAGGACAGUUAUUAUUAUUAUUCAUAUAAAUAGCUGUUUCUUUGUAUAUUAUUAUUAUAUCUUUUUUAUAAAUCAUUGUGAAUAAAAUAAAGUUGAUAACUUUGUAAGGUAGUUUUUUUGAAAUUUUUAUCAAAAAAAAUCAUAGUAAAAAAUGUAUACCCAAAUAAUUAUUUUCUUUAUACCUCGAAUAGAACUUCAAAUUAAUAUUUUUAUAAUAAGGAACUUCGUUCCUAUCCGGUGUCCCACGACACCGCACAUCUUUUUUUAUUGCUUAGAUGGGUGGAUGAGCUCACAGCCCACCUGGUGUUAAAUGGUUACCGGAGCCCAUAGACAUCUACAACGUAAAUGCGCCACCCACCUUGUGAUAUAAGUUCUAAGGUCUCAAUAUAGUUACAACGGCUGCCCCACCUUUCAAAAGCUUGCGUCAUUCAGGCUGUUAGGACGCUAGUUUGCACUAAUAUGACCUAAGACUUCUCGAGGUCUAACAUAAGCCAAAAUGUAGCCGGAACUCAAGUUUUGACAUCAAGAAAUUAGCAAAAAAAACACACACAUUGAAAUUAUCACAGAACCCAAAAGUCAUUUGCGACUUUUAUUUCGAAACUAAAAUGAACUUUGUUUCCGAACGGGAAUGUUUGGUAUUACACGUAAUUAUUCAAAUCGAACUUACGCUCCUGCCGUGAUUUCGAAAAACGAAAUUUAAUGAUUUACAGUCGUAUUCAAAAAACCGCCUCACGGUUAGCUGGUUUUAACAUUUUAAACACGCAACAAAAAUCCGGUAUUCAUUCUGGCCUGCUCGGUCAUUCAAAGAUUUCGUGUUCCGCUAUAAUUCGAAGAGGAAAAUGAAGUUAUUAAUAUUUUAUUUAAUAUGUUUGGUGUGUUUCACGAGUGCUUGGCGAGUGUUCCCGUUGCCGAGCGAGUCAGAUGCUAGUGGAUCGCAAUGGGUCAACCCCACGCCUGUAUUUAAGCCGUUUUCGAGUUCCACCGUUCCGAGAGUGUUCCCGCCGUACGUGUUCCCUCCGUUGUUAGUUUCAACCGGCUUACCCAUCAGGCCAACUAGCGUAUGGAAAGCCUAUACUAUGACCACAGAGGAGGUUAAUUAUCCAUACAGCACUAAGAUAGUACAAGACGAAUACCAAGCUUUCGAUGCGUAAGAAACGUCUUCUUCUAGAACUGGUUAAAAUCAAUACGUCGGUGUGAAUAUCAGAAGACGAAGCAAUAGAUUGUUAUAAAAAUAAAAAAAAUUGAAAUGGU